CCUACGGGAGGCAGCAGUGGGGAAUAUUGCACAAUGGGCGCAAGCCUGAUGCAGCGACGCCGCGUGAGGGAUGACGGCCUUCGGGUUGUAAACCUCUUUCAGUAGGGAAGAAGCGAAAGUGACGGUACCUGCAGAAGAAGCGCCGGCUAACUACGUGCCAGCAGCCGCGGUAAUACGUAGGGCGCAAGCGUUAUCCGGAAUUAUUGGGCGUAAAGAGCUCGUAGGCGGUUUGUCGCGUCUGCCGUGAAAGUCCGGGGCUCAACUCCGGAUCUGCGGUGGGUACGGGCAGACUAGAGUGAUGUAGGGGAGACUGGAAUUCCUGGUGUAGCGGUGAAAUGCGCAGAUAUCAGGAGGAACACCGAUGGCGAAGGCAGGUCUCUGGGCAUUAACUGACGCUGAGGAGCGAAAGCAUGGGGAGCGAACAGGAUUAGAUACCCUGGUAGUCCAUGCCGUAAACGUUGGGCACUAGGUGUGGGGGACAUUCCACGUUUUCCGCGCCGUAGCUAACGCAUUAAGUGCCCGCCUGGGGAGUACGGCCGCAAGGCUAAACUUAAAUGAAUUGACGG
Molecule: ribosomal RNA, 566 nt
Filed under: uncultured bacterium
Lineage: Bacteria
Description: bacterial SSU rRNA
Rfam family: Bacterial small subunit ribosomal RNA
Source: RNAcentral